Long non-coding RNA from Dendronephthya gigantea, 276 nucleotides. RefSeq lists it as uncharacterized. The record is from RefSeq and is a predicted model, not a curated record. Lineage: Eukaryota; Metazoa; Cnidaria; Anthozoa; Malacalcyonacea; Nephtheidae. The transcript is spliced from 3 exons.
UGGGUGUAUGGAAAACAUUUGGAAGCAUUCAUCCGUCUCUCGUACAAGCGGUAUAGAUAUGGAGCUUUAGGUGACUGAGGAAUCUUACUUGCGUUGGCUAUAUUGUUUAUUCAGUACAAACAUGAAUUGCUUGAAGAUUGGUGUCUUUGCUUGUAUACUAAUUCAUGUUUCCUUAAAUGAGGCGAAGGGUAGAUGUGGGACCCUUCAAUCCUCUUUUGUCGAGAGAUGUUCAGAAAAUCAAGAAGGAACGUACAGAGUUGCUCUGCAGGUUUGCGG